RNAcentral lists this long non-coding RNA (207 nucleotides) under Carica papaya (papaya). Its description in RNAcentral is "long non-coding RNA (CPAP_LNC007340)". The record is from RNAcentral. Lineage: Eukaryota; Viridiplantae; Streptophyta; Magnoliopsida; Brassicales; Caricaceae.
UUACACCAACUUACUCCAAAAUCACUUAGAUUUAAUUUUUUUUUUUCGAUUUCCGGUUUUGGUGAGUCACAUGUCCAAGUCGAGCCUUGACAACUUGGUAUUAAAGCAGUUCGAUUUUGACGAAACUCUUGCAAACUUCGUAACCAUGGUGAAAAAUAACGGGUAAAGCUACAACAUCUGAACUGCAGAAGAUACAAAUUUUGGAAG